Long non-coding RNA from Monodelphis domestica (gray short-tailed opossum), 2681 nucleotides. RefSeq lists it as uncharacterized. The record is from RefSeq and is a predicted model, not a curated record. Lineage: Eukaryota; Metazoa; Chordata; Mammalia; Didelphimorphia; Didelphidae.
UUUCAGAUCACCCAUUCUGUUAAAGAUGGAAGGGACCUUACAGGUCAGCCGAGUCUGGUCUCCACAUUUUCCCGGUGGGGAAACAGGCCCAGGUUCACUGAGGUUUACCAAGGUUCACCCAGUAAAUGUCCAAAGUAGAAUGUUAUAGAGAGAUGAACACUCUCUAUUGUUUCUCUACCCUCUAAGAACUCUGAUACACAAAGGAGCUCUAAAAACCACAUGGAUUCCAUUUCCCUUAUGCUAUUUGCCCUUAGCAGCUGUUUCUCUCCUGCCUGCCACCCAAUGCACAAAUAUACAGACACACCUUAUAUUAGCUGGAUCCAGGAAAUCUCCAGUAAUGGGAAGUCUUGUUGUUGGGACCAGAGGAGCAGCCGCACUGGAGGCUCCGGCAAAUUGAAUGAGCUGAAAACCAGGCUGCCUUGGAUUCCUGUACUGACCGGCCCUACCUUGACUGUCCGACCUUACGCUUAUUCUCCGGAGGGACAUUUGUGCUUUGUGGAAGAGGCAUAAAGAGGAGGGAAAACCUGGGUAGGGGAGUGGAGUGGAAUUGGCAGGAGAAGAAGAAAGAGCAUGCGCCACUGUGACCUUCCCAUUAUCCUGCUAGGAAAACUGAGUCUCUCCAAAGAGAGGGGGCAGUGAGGAGGUUCAUCAUUCCAGGACUUCCAGGUAACUAACUAUGGGGCUACUGAUGAACCAAAACCUAAAUAAUGCUGAAUUCCUGGAAUGUGGAAAGAGACUGGCACAGAGAAUAGAAAAGGGGAGAUUGAUGGGAGAGGGUUGGGAUGCAGGGAGAGACUGACAGCCCCCAGCACUGACUAGGAAUCAAGCUUGGCCUAUAGUCUUGGGAGAAACCUUCAGGGGGUGAGCUGUAUCCAGUUCUUACUGGCUCUCCUGGAGCCCACUGUUUCUUUUUCUGCAAAUCAGGGCUUGACCAUUCUUUUGUUAAGAAAGCAAUGUCGGCAAUGUGGAUGUUGCAGAUUAAACUUAAAAAGUUCCCACCCCCAAAGAGCUGGUUGUUAAACACUGUCUUUAAGCUUCAAGGAGUUGGGGAGGAGAGAGCUAGAAGAAAAAUGGUAACCCACAGACACACAACCAAGAGGGUCUUUAGAAAACAUCAAAUCCACUUCCCUCAGACACUUCCCAGCUGUGUGACCCUGGGCAAGUCACUUAACCCCCCUUGCCUAGCCCUUACCACGCGUCUGCCUUGGAACCGAUACACAGUAUGGAUUCCAAGAUGGAAAGUGAGGAUUAAAAAAAAAGAAAACAGAAAACAUCAAAUCCCCUCAUUUUACCGACCAUGAAUCCAAGACCCAAAGAGAAGUGAUUUCCUGGGGUCACAAAGGAGUAAACAGCAGAGUUAACAUUCCAGCCUAAAGCUUCUGAUUUGCAGACCCGUAUUUUCUACUCCUCUGGGGUCUGAGAAUCGCAGAGUGGAGCCAAACUGUUGCUGGUGGUGGCGGUGGGGCGAGGAUUCUAGUUGCCUUUUCACUUGCUCUCUUCUCUCCCCAGAACAGACCCUGGUCCUGCAUGGUGGUUCACUUCCUCGGAUCUUGGAGGAACCUUAUAGGGCCCGGUGUUGGGGAGACCCUAGUGACAGACCCUGUUCUGGGUUUCAGUGACCCCAGAUUCUGUGCUCCAAGGCCAGGGUUCCUGCUACUGCCUUCCCUGUUCAGGAAACAGGUAUUAAGCAUCUAGGCUCGCGUGGCACAGCAGAGAGUGAGCUGGGGGUCAGAUGUGGGUACAAAUGCUCUCUUGGAAGCACGCUUUGUGACAUGGACGAGUCACUUAACUAUUGGUGACUCUAAGGCUACCCAGGUUGUAAUACAGCUUUGGAAAGGAGGCGACCGUGAGCUCCCUCUCACGGAUCUAGAUUGGUUUUUCCUUCCUUCGGUGUAAGAGCAUGCUAGGCCUAGAGAGAAAUGGUCAGGGAAAGUUCUCAGCCGGGUGCAGCUCCCACCAAAGCUCUCUCUGCUGAGGAAAAGCAGGGCGCUCCUACUGACUAGGUCUUGCUCCCAGGGCUAGUCCAGGAGCUGCUCCUUUCCCAGGCUUCCACCCACAGGCCUCAGGAAGGCUGGUCUAGGAUGAACAGGACAAGUCUCUAAUCCAACAGGCAACGUGCCCGUUAAUCAUCAGAGGAGCCCAAUUCACCCAGCAAGGCACCCUCCUCAUCUCCCCCCAUUCCCUGCUGAGGUCACCUUUCUUUUGCUGGAGACACAGAACGGAAUGAGCAAAUAGCCAACUAAAACAAUUGGACACAAUACGGGGCAUAAAUCGGAGCAGAAAGAUCCCAUCUGACCCCUUCCCCUCCCCAAGUGCUGCCAUCCUGCCCCGGGCUCCCAAACUGGGGACUGGGGCAAGGAAGCAAUGCCCAACUGCAACGGGUACUCAAGGGGCCUCCCGCACAGCUCCCACUGCCCGGAGCAUGUGCCAGGCGCCCGCUAGUCCAAAUGCUUCAUUUGCCAAGCGGGAGAAUGAGAGAAGGUAAGUAAGGGCCUGUGGGCAGGACCUUCCCCUAGUUCUACCCCUGAUCAUUACAUAUAUACAUGUCUAUAUGGAGAGAGAGACAGAGAGACAGAGAGACAGAGAGACAGAGAGAGAGAGAGACAGAGACAGAGACAGAGACAGAGAGAGAGAGAGAGAGAGAGAGAGAGAGAGAGAGAGAGAGAGAGAGAGAGAGAGAG